This 497-nucleotide ribosomal RNA is filed under the name uncultured bacterium. RNAcentral's name for it is "partial 16S ribosomal RNA". It matches the Rfam family "Bacterial small subunit ribosomal RNA", at positions 28 to 507 of the family's 1533-position model. The record is from RNAcentral.
GAUGAACGCUGGCGGCGUGCCUAAUACAUGCGAGUCGAGCGAACAGGCGAGGAGCUUGCUCCUCUGACGUUAGCGGCGGACGGGUGAGUAACACGUGGAUAACCUACCUAUAAGACUGGGAUAACUUCGGGAAACCGGAGCUAAUACCGGAUAAUAUAUUGAACCGCAUGGUUCAAUAGUGAAAGACGGUUUUGCUGUCACUUAUAGAUGGAUCCGCGCCGCAUUAGCUAGUUGGUAAGGUAACGGCUUACCAAGGCAACGAUGCGUAGCCGACCUGAGAGGGUGAUCGGCCACACUGGAACUGAGACACGGUCCAGACUCCUACGGGAGGCAGCAGUAGGGAAUCUUCCGCAAUGGGCGAAAGCCUGACGGAGCAACGCCGCGUGAGUGAUGAAGGUCUUCGGAUCGUAAAACUCUGUUAUUAGGGAAGAACAAAUGUGUAAGUAACUAUGCACGUCUUGACGGUACCUAAUCAGAAAGCCACGGCUAACUACGUG